This 1729-nucleotide long non-coding RNA is filed under the name Sus scrofa (pig). Its description in RNAcentral is "lncRNA (ENSSSCG00065007464.1)". The record is from RNAcentral. Lineage: Eukaryota; Metazoa; Chordata; Mammalia; Artiodactyla; Suidae.
CACCUUGGCAACAGCAGGUCCAUUCUCUGUGUCCAUCAGUUUGCUUCUGUUAUGUGGGUAGCUUCCCUUGUGCUAUAUUUUAGAUUCCACAUAUAAGUGAUAUCAUAUGGUAUUUGUCUUUCUCUUUCUGACUUACUUCACUUAGUAUGAGAAUCUCUAGUUUCAUCCAUUUUGCUGCACAUGCCAUUAUUUUGUUCUUUUUAUCGCUGAGUAUAUUCCGUUGUGUACAUAAACUGUGUCUUCUUAAUCCAUUCAUCUGUUGAUGGACAUUGAGGUUAUUUCCAUGUCUUGGCUAUUGUGAAUAGUGCUGCAAUGAACAUGGGGGUGCAUGUAUCUNUUUUUUUUUUUCUGCUUUUUAGGGACACACCCGUGGCAUGUGGAAGUUCUCAGGCCAGGGGUCAAAUCAGAGCUACAGCGGCUGGCCUACGCCAUAGCCACAACAACGUGGGUUCUGAGCCUCGUCUGUGACGUGCACCACAGCUCAUGGCAAUGCCGGAUCCCUAACCAGUUGAGACGAGGGAUUGAACCCGAAUCCUCAUGGAUCCUAGUCAGGAUUGUUAACUGCUGAGCCACGAAGGGAACUUCCUGCAUGCAUCUUUUUGAAUGAAAAUUUUAUCUGGAUAUAUGUCCAGGAAUAGGAUUGCUGGGGCGUAUGGUAGUUCUAUGUUUAUUUAUUUUCUGUGUUACAAUUGCUUUAUUUUUUUCUUCCAAGUGUAUUGAGAUGUAAUUGACACAUAGCACUCUAUAAGUUUAUGGUGUUCAGCAUCGUGAUUUGACUUACAUACAUCAUGAAAUUAUGACCACAAUAACUUAAGUGAACAUCCAUCAUCGCAUAUGGACAAAAUUAAAGAAAUAAAAAAAAAAUUUUUCCUUGUGACGGGAACUCUUAGGAUUUAUUCUUAUAAGAACUUUAAUGUAUAACAUAUAUAUAUAUGGACACUAUAUAUGAGAGUGGUAAUUAGGAGUUCCUGCUGUGACUCAGUGAGUUAAGAACCUGACUAGUAUCCGUGAGGAUGUGGGUUCGAUCCCUGGCCUUGCUCAAUGGGUUAAGGGUCUGGAGUUACCCCAAGCUAUGGCAUAGGUUGCAGAUGCAGCUUGGAUCUGGUAUGGCUGUGGCUGUGGCAUAGACCUCAGCUGCGGCUCCAAUUUGACCCCUAUCCUGGAGACUUCCAUAUGCCACAGAUGCUACCCAAAAAGACAAAAAAAAAAAGAGUGGUAAUUAUGUUUAUCAUGCUGUACAUUAUAUCCCAGCUACUUAUUUAUCUUAUAACAGGAGGUCUGUACUUUUGACACCUUUCUUCCAAUUCCCCCUUCCCUUAGCUCCUGCCUCUACUAACCUUAAAUCUGAUCUCUCUGAGUUUUUUGUUUGGACGUGGUUCCUUUGAAAAUCUUCCAUUUUAGUAAGUGAUCAACCUGUUUUGGUUUGUAACAUAUUCUGGCUUACUGUUUUUUUUUUUUUUUUCCUCCCUGCCAGUGGCAUAUGGAGUUCCUGGGUCAAACACAGCCAAACAAAACAAAACUAUAGAAUUAAAGAAAAUACAAUUACAUGACACAUAAAAUAGAUAACAUGCAUAAAUACACUGAAAUCAUACAUAUAACCUAGUAGGAAUAUCAGGAGUUAAGUAAGUCCAAUAACUGGUAUGGGUAACUUACUAGAGAGGUUCAACUGUGGAUAUGAGCUAGCGGAAGAAAGAAUACGCAAAAAUGAAGGUAGAUCAAUAUAGAUUGU